CGUGUGGUUUAAUUCGAUGCUACACGAAGAACCUUACCAGGGUUUGACAUGUAAGUGGUAGGGAUCCGAAAGGUGACCGACCCUUCGGGGAGCUUGCACAGGUGCUGCAUGGCUGUCGUCAGCUCGUGUCGUGAGAUGUCCUGUUAAGUCAGGUAACGAGCGCAACCCUCGCCGUAUGUUAUAAGUAUCAUACGGGACUGCCGGUUUAGUGCCGGAGGAAGGCGGGGAUGACGUCAAGUCAGCAUGGCCUUUAUAUCCUGGGCUACACACACGCUACAAUGGCCAGUACAAUGGGUUGCAAGAUCGCGAGAUGGAGCCAAUCCCCAAAGCUGGUCUCAGUUCGGAUUGUAGGCUGCAACUCGCCUACAUGAAGCUGGAGUUGCUAGUAAC
This 390-nucleotide ribosomal RNA is filed under the name uncultured Chloroflexota bacterium. RNAcentral describes it as "bacterial SSU rRNA". It matches the Rfam family "Bacterial small subunit ribosomal RNA", at positions 938 to 1342 of the family's 1533-position model. The record is from RNAcentral. Lineage: Bacteria; Bacillati; Chloroflexota.